AAAUAUAUAUCACCUGAUUAGUGGCGGCUGUCUUGGCUGGUUUAGAAGAAGACGAUGUGACAAUAGUGGAGGUCAAGAAAACACCUAAGCAAAACUGGUCAGGUAUAGGUAUGGAACUCACCUUACAAUCUAGACCGUAUAUCGACUGGCUGCCCGACCUAAUCGAUCUCCCG
Molecule: long non-coding RNA, 173 nt
Organism: Octopus sinensis (East Asian common octopus)
Lineage: Eukaryota; Metazoa; Mollusca; Cephalopoda; Octopoda; Octopodidae
Exons: 3
Source: RefSeq, a predicted model, not a curated record